This 497-nucleotide ribosomal RNA is filed under the name uncultured bacterium. RNAcentral's name for it is "partial 16S ribosomal RNA". It matches the Rfam family "Bacterial small subunit ribosomal RNA", at positions 28 to 507 of the family's 1533-position model. The record is from RNAcentral.
GACGAACGCUGGCGGCGUGCCUAAUACAUGCCAGUAGAACGCUGAAGCUUGGUGCUUGCCCCGAGCGGAUGAGUUGCGAACGGGUGAGUAACGCGUAGGUAACCUGCCUGGUAGCGGGGGAUAACUAUUGGAAACGAUAGCUAAUACCGCAUAAGAGUAGAUGUUGCAUGACAUUUGCUUAAAAGGUGCAAUUGCAUCACUACCAGAUGGACCUGCGUUGUAUUAGCUAGUUGGUGAGGUAACGGCUCACCAAGGCAACGAUACAUAGCCGACCUGAGAGGGUGAUCGGCCACACUGGGACUGAGACACGGCCCAGACUCCUACGGGAGGCAGCAGUAGGGAAUCUUCGGCAAUGGACGGAAGUCUGACCGAGCAACGCCGCGUGAGUGAAGAAGGUUUUCGGAUCGUAAAGCUCGGUUGUAAGAGAAGAACGAGUGUGAGAGUGGAAAGUUCACACUGUGACGGUAUCUUACCAGAAAGGGACGGCUAACUACGUG